RNAcentral lists this ribosomal RNA (496 nucleotides) under uncultured bacterium. Its description in RNAcentral is "bacterial SSU rRNA". It matches the Rfam family "Bacterial small subunit ribosomal RNA", at positions 32 to 506 of the family's 1533-position model. The record is from RNAcentral.
AAUCAACGCUGGCGGCGUGCCUAACACAUGCAAGUCGAACGCGAAAAGGGCUUCGGCUCUUAGUAGAGUGGCGAACGGGUGAGUAACACGUGGGUGACCUACCUUUGAAUGGGGGAUAACGUCCCGAAGGGACGCUAAUACCGCAUAACAUCCUGCCUUUGAACAGGUGGAGAUCAAAGCCGGGGAUCGCAAGACCUGGCGUUUGGAGAGGGGCCCGCGUCUGAUUAGCUAGUUGGUGAGGAACGGCCCACCAAGGCGACGAUCAGUAUCCGGCCUGAGAGGGCGGACGGACACACUGGGACUGAGACACGGCCCAGACUCCUACGGGAGGCAGCAGUGGGGAAUUGUUCGCAAUGGGCGCAAGCCUGACGACGCAACGCCGCGUGGAGGAUGAAGGUCUUCGGAUUGUAAACUCCUGUUGCUCGGGAACGAAAAGCUUCGACCUAACACGUCGAAGUCUGACGGUACCGGGUGAGGAAGCCCCGGCUAACUCUGU